This 117-nucleotide small nucleolar RNA is filed under the name Otolemur garnettii (small-eared galago). Its description in RNAcentral is "Small nucleolar RNA SNORA33 (ENSOGAG00000031873.1)". It matches the Rfam family "Small nucleolar RNA SNORA33". Rfam says of the family: ACA33 is a member of the H/ACA class of snoRNA that guide the sites of modification of uridines to pseudouridines. The record is from Rfam by way of RNAcentral. Lineage: Eukaryota; Metazoa; Chordata; Mammalia; Primates; Galagidae.
AUACAAUAUAAAGAUAUCUGUUUCUGCAGAACUUUUUUAAAAGCUGGCAAUAGUAAAGCCAGGCUGCGAGCCUUACGGACAUGGAAGUUGUUAAGGUCCCUGAAAAUGUCUAUAACA